Molecule: ribosomal RNA, 649 nt
Filed under: fungal endophyte
Lineage: Eukaryota; Fungi
Description: eukaryotic LSU rRNA
Rfam family: 5.8S ribosomal RNA (bases 179-332)
Source: RNAcentral
UAAAGAGUUCUAUAACUCCCAAACCCAUGUGAACAUACCUAACGUUGCCUCGGCAGGUCGCACCUACCUUGUAGCACCCUACCCUGUAGGGCCUACCCGGGAGGUGCGGGUAAGCCUGCCGGCGGCCCACCAAACUCUGUUUGAUAUUGAAUUCUGAACCUAUAACUAAAUAAGUUAAAACUUUCAACAACGGAUCUCUUGGUUCUGGCAUCGAUGAAGAACGCAGCGAAAUGCGAUAAGUAAUGUGAAUUGCAGAAUUCAGUGAAUCAUCGAAUCUUUGAACGCAUAUUGCGCCCAUUAGUAUUCUAGUGGGCAGGACCGUUCGAGCGUCAUUUCAACCCUUAAGCCUUCGUUGCUUAGUGUUGGGAGCCUACGGUAACGUAGCUCCUCAAAGUUAGUGGCGGAGUUGGUUCACACUCUAGACGUAGUAAUUUUUUAUCUCGCCUAUUAGUUGGACUAAUCCCCUGCCGUAAAACCCCCAAUUUAUCAAGGUUGACCUCGAAUCGGUUCAGACAAACUCGCUAAAUUGAAGCAUCUUAGUCAGCGAAGGAAAAGAAACCAACAGGGAUUGCCCUAGUAACGGCGAGUGAAGCGGCAACAGCUCAAAUUUGAAAUCUGGCCCUCGGGUCCGAGUUGUAAUUUGUAGAGG